CAACCCUCAAGCUCUGCUUGGUAUUGGGUCUCGCCGUCUGCCGGCGGGCCUUAAAAUCAGUGGCGGUGCCGCCCGGGCUCCAAGCGUAGUAGCAUCUCUCGCUCUGGAAGUUCGGUGGUUGCUGGCCAGAUGAACCCCUAAUUUCUUCUAU
This 151-nucleotide unclassified non-coding RNA is filed under the name uncultured Helotiales. Its description in RNAcentral is "sequence contains ITS2". Lineage: Eukaryota; Fungi; Ascomycota; Leotiomycetes; Helotiales. The record is from RNAcentral.